UGCUGGGGGAUUAGUGGCGAACGGGUGAGUAACACGUGAGUAACCUGCCCUUGACUCUGGGAUAAGCCUGGGAAACUGGGUCUAAUACCGGAUAUGACUGUCUGACGCAUGUCAGGUGGUGGAAAGCUUUUGUGGUUUUGGAUGGACUCGCGGCCUAUCAGCUUGUUGGUGGGGUAAUGGCCUACCAAGGCGACGACGGGUAGCCGGCCUGAGAGGGUGACCGGCCACACUGGGACUGAGACACGGCCCAGACUCCUACGGGAGGCAGCAGUGGGGAAUAUUGCACAAUGGGCGCAAGCCUGAUGCAGCGACGCCGCGUGAGGGAUGACGGCCUUCGGGUUGUAAACCUCUUUCAGUAGGGAAGAAGCGAAAGUGACGGUACCUGCAGAAGAAGCGCCGGCUAACUACGUGCCAGCAGCCGCGGUAAUACGUAGGGCGCAAGCGUUAUCCGGAAUUAUUGGGCGUAAAGAGCUCGUAGGCGGUUUGUCGCGUCUGCUGUGAAAGACCGGGGCUCAACUCCGGUUCUGCAGUGGGUACGGGCAGACUAGAGUGAUGUAGGGGAGACUGGAAUUCCUGGUGUAGCGGUGAAAUGCGCAGAUAUCAGGAGGAACACCGAUGGCGAAGGCAGGUCUCUGGGCAUUAACUGACGCUGAGGAGCGAAAGCAUGGGGAGCGAACAGGAUUAGAUACCCUGGUAGUCCAUGCCGUAAACGUUGGGCACUAGGUGUGGGGGACAUUCCACGUUUUCCGCGCCGUAGCUAACGCAUUAAGUGCCCCGCCUGGGGAGUACGGCCGCAAGGCUAAAACUCAAAGGAAUUGACGGGGGCCCGCACAAGCGGCGGAGCAUGCGGAUUAAUUCGAUGCAACGCGAAGAACCUUACCAAGGCUUGACAUGAACCGGUAAUACCUGGAAACAGGUGCCCCGCUUGCGGUCGGUUUACAGGUGGUGCAUGGUUGUCGUCAGCUCGUGUCGUGAGAUGUUGGGUUAAGUCCCGCAACGAGCGCAACCCUCGUUCUAUGUUGCCAGCGCGUUAUGGCGGGGACUCAUAGGAGACUGCCGGGGUCAACUCGGAGGAAGGUGGGGACGACGUCAAAUCAUCAUGCCCCUUAUGUCUUGGGCUUCACGCAUGCUACAAUGGCCGGUACAAAGGGUUGCGAUACUGUGAGGUGGAGCUAAUCCCAAAAAGCCGGUCUCAGUUCGGAUUGGGGUCUGCAACUCGACCCCAUGAAGUCGGAGUCGCUAGUAAUCGCAGAUCAGCAACGCUGCGGUGAAUACGUUCCCGGGCCUUGUACACACCGCCCGUCAAGUCACGAAAGUUGGU
RNAcentral lists this ribosomal RNA (1321 nucleotides) under Paenarthrobacter sp. RNAcentral describes it as "bacterial SSU rRNA". It matches the Rfam family "Bacterial small subunit ribosomal RNA", at positions 82 to 1415 of the family's 1533-position model. Lineage: Bacteria; Bacillati; Actinomycetota; Actinomycetes; Micrococcales; Micrococcaceae. The record is from RNAcentral.